RNAcentral lists this ribosomal RNA (1170 nucleotides) under Patellapis abessinica. RNAcentral's name for it is "eukaryotic LSU rRNA". It matches the Rfam family "Eukaryotic large subunit ribosomal RNA", at positions 402 to 1266 of the family's 3401-position model. The record is from RNAcentral. Lineage: Eukaryota; Metazoa; Arthropoda; Insecta; Hymenoptera; Halictidae.
AAACCGUUCAGGGGUAAACCUGAGAAACCCAAAAGAUCGAAUGGGGAGAUUCAUCGUCGACGAGGUUGGCUUCCGUUGGUGCGCAGAUACCCCGAACUGAUGUACGUCUGUGCACAGUGCGAGGGUACACCAUCUUCGGAAAAUGUUCCGACCACGUAGUCGUGCACUUCUCCCUUAGUAGAACGUCGCGACCCGUUGCGUGUCGGUCUACGGCCCGAGUUGUUGCCUGUCGUGUCGCCUCGCGCGUACACGGUAGACGCUCGAUCGCCUGGCCGGCUGCGUGACGGUACUCUGACGGUAUCGGGCCGCAACCAAUCCAUUCUCGAAUGUGUGUGCGUCAGGCCCGCCGCAAGCUCGGUUAUUUUUACCCGGAGGUCAGCGGAACUGGUGCUGGCUCCGGGCAUAACCAGCUGUUAGCAGGCGGUGUCCUCGGACUGGCCAAGCUUUGAAUUACCGGUCAGCGACGCUACUGCUUUGGGUACUCUCAGGACCCGUCUUGAAACACGGACCAAGGAGUCUAACAUGUGCGCGAGUCAUUGGGACAUGUAAACCUAAAGGCGCAAUGAAAGUGAAGGUCGUACCUUAGCGUCGACCAAGGGAGGAUGGGCCGCGUUACGAUGCGGCCUCGCACUCCCGGGGCGUCUCGUUCUCAUUGCGAGAAGAGGCGCACCCAGAGCGUACACGUUGGGACCCGAAAGAUGGUGAACUAUGCCUGGUCAGGACGAAGUCAGGGGAAACCCUGAUGGAGGUCCGUAGCGAUUCUGACGUGCAAAUCGAUCGUCGGAACUGGGUAUAGGGGCGAAAGACUAAUCGAACCAUCUAGUAGCUGGUUCCCUCCGAAGUUUCCCUCAGGAUAGCUGGCACUCGCUCGUUCUCUUUGGUGAACGUUUGCGAGUCUCAUCUGGUAAAGCGAAUGAUUAGAGGCCUUGGGGCCGAAACGACCUCAACCUAUUCUCAAACUUUAAAUGGGUGAGAUCUCUGGCUUGCUUGGAUCAAUGAAGCCACGAGAUUUUUUGGAUCAGAGUGCCAAGUGGGCCAAUUUUGGUAAGCAGAACUGGCGCUGUGGGAUGAACCAAACGCAGAGUUAAGGCGCCUAAGUCGACGCUUAUGGGAUACCAUGAAAGGCGUUGGUUGCUUAAGACAGCAGGACGGUGGCCAUGGAAGUCGGAA